UACGUAGGGUGCGAGCGUUAAUCGGAAUUACUGGGCGUAAAGCGUGCGCAGGCGGUUCGUUAAGUUCGUUGUGAAAGCCCCGGGCUCAACCUGGGAAUUGCGAUGGAGACUGCAAGGCUUGAAUCUGGCAGAGGGGGGUAGAAUUCCACGUGUAGCAGGUGAAAUGCGUAGAGAUGUGGAGGAACACCGAUGGCGAAGGCAGCCCCCUGGGUCAAGAUUGACGCUCAUGCACGAAAGCGUGGGGAGCAAACAGG
This 254-nucleotide ribosomal RNA is filed under the name uncultured bacterium. RNAcentral's name for it is "partial 16S ribosomal RNA". It matches the Rfam family "Bacterial small subunit ribosomal RNA", at positions 524 to 776 of the family's 1533-position model. The record is from RNAcentral.